Lycium ferocissimum is the source of this 374-nucleotide long non-coding RNA. RefSeq lists it as uncharacterized. The transcript is spliced from 3 exons. The record is from RefSeq and is a predicted model, not a curated record. Lineage: Eukaryota; Viridiplantae; Streptophyta; Magnoliopsida; Solanales; Solanaceae.
CAGAUAAUACUCGCAACGAAGUGAUUUAGGCUCAAACUUGUUGUAAGUAGCGCAUAAUAAGGAAAACGGAGAUUUCUUUCACUUGCAUAGCCUUGACAUAAUUGAUUUGGCUGGCAAACCGCUCAAAGGAAGGCGGUGAUGCAUGAGUGCAAAUGACCCCUUUCAGUGCCUGACUGUAUGCACCAAUCUUAGUGAAAACGUUAGAACACCAUCCGUGGGGCGACAACUAUUUCUUAUAUUCUUGUGCACCAGAAUUUAGGUAUUCAUGUGAAUCUCAUGAUCUUGAACAAUGAACAUACAUAAAAAUGUUGAGCCUCUUGUUUUCUGAAGAUGGUAAGGUCUGUUUCAUUUUGCUUUAAAUUAUAAUUUUCAUG